RNAcentral lists this ribosomal RNA (492 nucleotides) under uncultured bacterium. Its description in RNAcentral is "partial 16S ribosomal RNA". It matches the Rfam family "Bacterial small subunit ribosomal RNA", at positions 29 to 507 of the family's 1533-position model. The record is from RNAcentral.
AGUGAACGCUGGCGGUAGGCCUAACACAUGCAAGUCGAACGGCAGCACAGUAAGAGCUUGCUCUUACGGGUGGCGAGUGGCGGACGGGUGAGGAAUACAUCGGAAUCUACUUUUUCGUGGGGGAUAACGUAGGGAAACUUACGCUAAUACCGCAUACGACCUACGGGUGAAAGCAGGGGAUCUUCGGACCUUGCGCGAUUGAAUGAGCCGAUGUCGGAUUAGCUAGUUGGCGGGGUAAAGGCCCACCAAGGCGACGAUCCGUAGCUGGUCUGAGAGGAUGAUCAGCCACACUGGAACUGGGACACGGUCCAGACUCCUACGGGAGGCAGCAGUGGGGAAUAUUGGACAAUGGGCGCAAGCCUGAUCCAGCCAUACCGCGUGGGUGAAGAAGGCCUUCGGGUUGUAAAGCCCUUUUGUUGGGAAAGAAAAGCAGCAGGUUAAUACCCCGCUGUUCUGACGGUACCCAAAGAAUAAGCACCGGCUAACCUCGUG